Molecule: long non-coding RNA, 1169 nt
Filed under: Pogona vitticeps (central bearded dragon)
Lineage: Eukaryota; Metazoa; Chordata; Lepidosauria; Squamata; Agamidae
Description: lncRNA (ENSPVIG00000025142.1)
Source: RNAcentral
AAAGCGAACUGAAAUCUAGCAAUUGGACCUGAGGGAGCACCACCAAGGCCAGGAAAGAAAUCAGCCCGAACGCAGAAGCGUGAUUGUGUUCCGGGGGGCGGGGGGGGCACAAGGAGUUUCUUUUCUUAACUGGAGAAGGGGCUGCCAUGUGGCUGCAGACUUCACAGUGAACUAUCUAGUAACAGGAAUUACGGCAAUCUUAAUUAAUUUGACUUUCGCUCAUGUUGUCGCUAGUUACUAAAUGGCAAAUAAAAGUUCUUUCCAGUGACCCUUAUGUAAAACUGCUGUAAAUGCUCACAAUAAGUGGUACCUUGUGAAUAUGGCCAGCCACAUCCCCUGGUAGCCCUCCUCCUCACCCUUGGCUGGGAGAUACAGGGUCGGGCUCAGCUUCUUAGAACCACCAGGGGUGGGGGGGGGAGUGCCUCCAGGGCACCCCAGGCUCCUCACUGGCCUUGGUUGCAUCACCCACUCAUGCAGUCACUCAGCUCAGUUUGAACACAGGGCUCGGGGGGUCUCCUGAGAGUGAGUGAUGGGGGGGGAGGCUGGUGUUAUGCCUUCUUUGGGUGGCACUUUGUCUUGUCUUUCCUCUAUGGAGCUUGCCCCCUUCUCGUGCUGCUGAUGGAGGCAUGGAAGGGGGGGUAGUCCUGCCUUCUGAGCCCCCAGAAGAUGGCUUCCCCGUUUACCAGUGGCCAACACCCUGCUUUUGUGUGUGUGUGUGUGUUUGUGUGCGCACACGUGCCUAUCUCAUAUUUAUCAUAGGUCAUUUCCAGUCAGUUUCUGAUUUCUUCUCUGUGCCGUUUUAUUUGCAUGCAGGCUCAGGGCAGCCCCCCCCCGCACCCCCAGUGGAUUCUGGGUGUGGAAAAACUGGACUCCAGCACUUGGAGCUUGCUCACUCUUGUAGACUGUCUGCUGCCUGCAGUUCCUGCCUUAGACAGACUCCCGGGGAUCCCACCUCCGCUGACUCAGAAAUAUGCCCGCGUUCAACAGGAUGCAAACCCGUAUAAAACUUGGCUGAUCUCUCCAGGAGCCCAACAGGUCAGUGCCAACCAAUGCUGGUUCUUAAGAGGGCGGCUCACUCUCUGGUGUCUCUGGCUUGGGAUGGCCACUCCGCCAGUCCUCCCCUUGCUCACUGAUUGCAGCUAAUAAAUGAACAAAGGCACCCUUUGACA